This 129-nucleotide non-coding RNA is filed under the name Sporomusa malonica. Its description in RNAcentral is "MoCo sequence". It matches the Rfam family "Molybdenum/Tungsten riboswitch aptamer (Moco RNA motif)". The record is from Rfam by way of RNAcentral. Lineage: Bacteria; Bacillati; Bacillota; Negativicutes; Selenomonadales; Sporomusaceae.
UAAAAAAUGGCACUCCGAGCUGCAUGACCUAAGGGCAACUAUGGUCUUGCAGCCUGAACCUAGGUUCACAGGGCAGUGAAAGAAAUUUUACUGCCUCCACUACUUGGGAAGGAUGCGCUUCAUAAGUUU